Anas platyrhynchos (mallard) is the source of this 4192-nucleotide long non-coding RNA. RefSeq lists it as uncharacterized. Lineage: Eukaryota; Metazoa; Chordata; Aves; Anseriformes; Anatidae. The record is from RefSeq and is a predicted model, not a curated record.
UUGUCUCACUGCCCCCAUUUGCAGAGCUGGCCAUGAGCAGGGCUGGGAGUGCACACUCGUCUGUGACCUUGCUGCAGAACUGUCUGUUCAGAUCACACCCUUGAAAGCUAACACCUGAAGGAAGAUGUGCUGAAAGUGAGGAGUGCAAAACAUCUCUCUUUGGAGCUGGGAGGGAAACCUGGGGAUUUCGGUCACCUGUGACAUCUGCAGCAGCAAUGGAAGUGCAUUCACCUGGCUGACUUUCUGGUUCCUACACCAUACAUCUGCUCCCACCUUGAAGUUCCCCUGACAGCUUCUGUAAUGUACAAAACCUCGUGGAAAACGAAGCAGGCACAUCAUUUAAAUCAAAUGGUUUUCCUUGUGGAUAACUGGGAUUAUGCUUGUUUGGAUAGUCUUAAUUCUGGACUUCCGAAGCUCUGAGUACUAGAUCUUAAAAAUUGUUCUUCAGACCUUGGUUCAGGGGAAAAAAGGAAGGAAGGAAAAAAAGAAGUGAAAUUUGUCACUUUGAUAGAAGAGAGAAGUUGGUCUUCUUCUCAUUGUUGUCGUGUAAUUUUUUAUUUUUUGAGAUAUGUUCUAUAUAAAGUCAUAGUAAUUUUAUCUGUGUUGAUUUUAGGCUUCAUCUUGAGGUUGUCUACAAAAACAGUGCUGGUCUCUGUUGGUAAUGAGCCUGUAAGGGUGACUUGAGGUCGGGCCAGAUUGUGCCAUACACAAAGUGCAAAUCUCUCUGAUACAAUGAAUGUGUUUAGCUCUCAUGUUGGCUGGCAGCAUUUAACUGCUUUCUGUAUAUUUUCCCUUUCUUAGUGAUGCUAUGCUCUCAAUCUGCUCAAAAAUCGUGGACACUUAAAAAAACAAAAACAAACAAACAAAACAAAACAACAACAACAACAAAACACAAAAUUUCAUUUUCUUCUCAAGAGGAACGUUUAUUGCAAGAAGAACAAUUCUACAGUAUGAGAUACAUUUUGCUAUUCUCUUUCACCCCGCUGGACCUUUUGUUUCUCAUUCUGAAUUCAGCCAUUCUGUGGCAAUCAUAUGCUCAGCCUGUGCAUGACUUUGCAUGUGGUUACACAUCAAUUUUACAGUGCUGCUCCCUUUUGCCCUCAAACCAGAGCCCGUAAGUGCUUUGUGCCCUCUUGCCUUCCUUCCCCGUGGAACUGCAUCCCAGCUGCUGGAAAGAGCCAUGCUGCAGGAGGAAUGGGCAAGGGCAAAAGCAGGCAGCAGUCUUGGCCUUUAUCUUAAUAAAUGAAGAAAAGAGAGACUGUUCCAAAAUAGAGACAUCCUGGAAGAACAGAAAGCAGCAUGGAGAAUUGUUGCUCUUUUCCUUGCUCCUGAGCCUCCCCAAGGAUGUCCAGACGAGAAGGAUGGAUGUCAUUUUGUCAUAGCAAACAUUGCAUUUUCUCCUGCUAAAUCAAAGCAGUUAACAUAUGCAGGUCACUUAUGAAGAAGCUAAACAGUCCCGGAUCCAGUACCAGCUCCUGGAGUACGCUGCUGCUGACUGGUACACCACUGCAUCCAGCUGGGCUUCAUGUGGAUCAACAGAUGAUUAUCCUUUGAGCUGAAUACUUCAACCAGUUUUCAAUCCGCCUCAUGACAAUGACUUGUCAGAUUGUCAGGAAGCCUAAUGGGAAGGAUGUGCUUCAGUGAAAUAAAAUAACUAGAGGGCCUUCCUUUGCAAAUCAUUUUAAGGUUUCACUUCUGUUUUACCUAAUCUCUUGGUUUACCUCUGUUUUAAAGAGUUAAUUCUUCCUGUUUGAAUUUUGAUAGAAUAUGUCUUUUCACUUGGAAACAUGGUUCCUUUCAUUUUUAAGGAGCCGGGGUGUUAAUUUUACAACAUUUAAAUAAAUCUGCCUCACAGUCCCCAUCCAACAUGAAGUACUGUCCCUUGCUCACCCAAAAAAGUAGCUCAAUAUCCGAUUUUCAGAAACUGACCAUAACUUUGUCUUUUUCUAACUACAUCUGGACUGCAUCACCAUGGUGCAGGUUUAAUACUAAGGCUUAAAAAUGUAAUACAAAAUCUAUAUUUUGUCUUGUAUAACAUGUGCAGGCUGGAUAAUCAGGUGUUGAGCUUCCUGAAAAUACUCCCCUUUGAAGAAGAUGACCAGUCUUUCCAUGUUUUAAAGGGGAUUCCUUAUUUUAUUAGUUUGCCACAUGAAUCAAACUUUUGCAGAUAAAUGUGUCCUGAAUGAUUAAGCCUUGUUUUCAGCAUGGAACUCAUCCUGAGUAAAUACUGGUGCUAUCCAGAGCCACUCAUAUGUGAUGAAAGAUUAAAGAAGUGCUUUUUUCUAAGGCUUAUCUACAACUGAACCAAUACUUCUUGGUAGAACUAGAAUUUUAAGUACAUGCUAAUAAUGAUUCUUCUUUCAGUUGAGAAAACAAUUAAAAGAUUAGUUUUGAAAAGACGUAUCUUUUCUCUCUAGCCACCAUCUCGAAUUGUGAAAAUAUCAAUGUUUUUGAUAGUCACUCAUUACUGCAACUCUGAAAGGGGGGAACAAGCUUCUCUCUCUCUUGAUUAGUUUUAAAAGCAACAAUGAAACUGCAUUAGAAAUAUUUGCAAAUGGGAAAAGUGCAGAGCGUUCAAAUAGUUUGGCUUUUGAAAACAUAUAAUCAUUUAUACCGAGAAAGCAAACACGGAUUUUCCAGAAACACUAGUAUGUUCUUAGCUCUUAGUCCCUAACACAGCAAAGUAUGCUGUACAUAAAUCAUUAUACGGUUUUAAAAUUUGUGUAAUCAUGUUUUUAGUCACUUUUCUUCAAUUGCCAAAUUGUUCCGGAAGACAUUUCAUUUUAUCAGUCUUAAAUAUUUGGAACUACUGAAGCAUAUCUCUAAAAAAACUAUUAUCUUAAGAUAACAGCAUUAUCUUAUCUGUGCAGUUGAAGGGAUCUUGAAAAGUUUCCCCACUAUUCCAAGUUACUUUUCAAUAUUAGGUGAAGAUUGCCAAAUUGCAAUUUCUAAUUUCUUUAAGGAUGAUGAGGUUGGAAGUGGUGCUUUGAAUAACUAAAUAACUACUUAAAAGUUUGUUUUUACAGUACACUCUUAAAAUCAUAACAGCCUGCUCUUCUCUGUGUUAAUGAUGUAAUGCUUUUUGUGAAAGGUAAGCUCAAAAAAAGAGUCGACAACUGAAUCAUACAUCACCGGUCUAAUUCUUAAAAGCACUUCACAUCAGAGCAGAGAAAAUACCAAGCAGUUCAUUCACCUUUUGAAUACCUGAUUUUGUAUUUAAGCUGCAACAAACAAAACUAAACAUAAACUGAUCCAGUUACUUCCUCUGGAAAAUGUAUUGGCCUUUCAGGAAAUCACAGAUUUUUGUGACAGACUGAACUUCCAAGUCUUGGAGUGGAAACUUUGCUAGAGAAUUUGCAGGAGGCUAAGGGUUUCAGUUGUGUACCUGCUUUGUGAAUCUUGUGUAAGGAUAUUGUCCAAUACUUUAUCCCUAAGAUCUUGUUCUUUCAAUAUUCUUUCUGAUUUCAUUAACUUCAAUAUGUCCACUGCUAUCUUGAGUGCACACUCUGAAGAAUAUUUUUCUUCUGAAAACAGAUGGUAUGGAAAUUUGCUAAAUAUUGAUUCUGUUAAACCCAAGAUACAAAUUAAUGUUAAUUUCAGUUGAACAUGUAAAAAUACAUAUAAAUUGAUUAAAACAAAACAACAAAAAAAAAACACCUAAAGAACUGAAAUGUUUGAAAAGGUAAUUAUUAUCAGUUUUAUCUCAAUAAAUUGAAUUUGAUAGUGUAACAGUGAGGGCAACAGGAAUGCUGAAUGAGAGAAAAUUGGAUGAGAAAUAGUAUUUCCUUUUCUAUUAUGUUUUCACCCAUGAAAGAUGAUGAGCCAACUUCUGAGGCAAUUAAAAGCUGGGUUGUCAAGAAUAUGGCAUCCCAUAUGGAUUUCUGGUAACUGUACUGCUAGUCCGCCCUUUAGUCAGAACAAAACUGAUCUCUUUAAGCUGUAACAAAUAAAUAGGUGUCCAUAGAAAGUGACAGUAGUUUCAACUUGUACAGCUUUCAGACAUGAAGCUUGUUAUAUUACAUUUUUGCUCUUUAUUAAGGUUCUACUCAUAAACAUAUUGCAUUUAUUUGUUUGGGUCUUGCCUUUCUUACAUUGACAAGUAAUAAUGCAUAAAGCCAUUAUUUGGGUGGGAGAGGAAAGCAAUUGAAUAUAUCUAGGUCCUUUAAUAAACUUUAUAGGUUGUAUUUUCUAA